Molecule: ribosomal RNA, 348 nt
Filed under: uncultured soil bacterium
Lineage: Bacteria
Description: bacterial SSU rRNA
Rfam family: Bacterial small subunit ribosomal RNA
Source: RNAcentral
GAGACAGGUGCUGCAUGGCUGUCGUCAGCUCGUGUUGUGAAAUGUUGGGUUAAGUCCCGCAACGAGCGCAACCCUUAUCGUCUGUUGAAUUUUUCAGACGAGACUGCCCGGGCCAACCGGGAGGAAGGUGGGGUCGAAGUCAGGUCAGCAUGGCCCUUACACCUCGGGCCACACCCGUGCUACAAUGGCCGAUACAACGCGUCGCCAACCCGCAAGGGGGAGCUAAUCGCAUCAAAAUCGGUCUCAGUUCGGAUAACAGGCUGAAACUCGCCUGUUUGAAGCUGGAAUCGCUAGUAAACGUGGGUCAGCAUACCACGUUGAAUACGUUCCCGGGUCUUGUACACACCG